UGCCAGCCGCCGCGGUAAUACGGAGGGGGCGAGCGUUGUUCGGAAUUACUGGGCGUAAAGGGCGCGUAGGCGGGAUGUCUAGUCAGGGGUGAAAGUCCUGGGCUCAACCUGGGGACUGCCCUUGAAACUGACAUUCUUGAGACCGGGAGAGGAUGGCGGAAUUCCCAGUGUAGAGGUGAAAUUCGUAGAUAUUGGGAAGAACACCAGUGGCGAAGGCGGCUAACUGGCUCGGUACUGACGCUGAGAUGCGAAAGCGUGGGGAGCAAACAGGAUUAGAUA
RNAcentral lists this ribosomal RNA (279 nucleotides) under uncultured bacterium. Its description in RNAcentral is "partial 16S ribosomal RNA". It matches the Rfam family "Bacterial small subunit ribosomal RNA", at positions 506 to 784 of the family's 1533-position model. The record is from RNAcentral.